ACUUAAAUUGAAGAGUUUGAUCAUGGCUCAGAUUGAACGCUGGCGGCAGGCCUAACACAUGCAAGUCGAGCGGUAGCACAGAGAGCUUGCUCUCGGGUGACGAGCGGCGGACGGGUGAGUAAUGUCUGGGAAACUGCCUGAUGGAGGGGGAUAACUACUGGAAACGGUAGCUAAUACCGCAUAACGUCGCAAGACCAAAGUGGGGGACCUUCG
RNAcentral lists this ribosomal RNA (213 nucleotides) under Klebsiella pneumoniae. Its description in RNAcentral is "partial 16S ribosomal RNA". It matches the Rfam family "Bacterial small subunit ribosomal RNA", at positions 1 to 215 of the family's 1533-position model. The record is from RNAcentral. Lineage: Bacteria; Pseudomonadati; Pseudomonadota; Gammaproteobacteria; Enterobacterales; Enterobacteriaceae.